AUUGGAUUAAUCACCGUCUUCGUGAUAAUCCAUCGAUUAGGAGUAAUUUAAAAAUUAAUCACCAAUGACAUAUGCCUCAAAUUCUAAAUUAAUCACCAGUGUCAUCAUUUUAUUAAUUUUUUAGAUAAUUCAUGGACACAUACACAACAUGAAUAGAAAUAAAUUGCCCAAUCUUAUUAUUAAAUAUAAAAUCAAAUAUAAAACUAUAUCCUAAAAAGAAUAAAUAUGUCGGU
Molecule: long non-coding RNA, 233 nt
Filed under: Elaeis guineensis (African oil palm)
Lineage: Eukaryota; Viridiplantae; Streptophyta; Magnoliopsida; Arecales; Arecaceae
Description: long non-coding RNA (EGUI_LNC038737)
Source: RNAcentral